This 69-nucleotide transfer RNA is filed under the name Solanum lycopersicum (tomato). It matches the Rfam family "tRNA". From Rfam's summary of the family: Transfer RNA (tRNA) molecules are approximately 80 nucleotides in length. The record is from Rfam by way of RNAcentral. Lineage: Eukaryota; Viridiplantae; Streptophyta; Magnoliopsida; Solanales; Solanaceae.
GCACCAGGUCUAGUGGUAGAAUAGUAACCUGCCACGGUACAGACCCGAGUUUGAUUCCCGGCUGGUGCA